ACCUCGGAGGUCAUUGUU
Molecule: ribosomal RNA, 18 nt
Filed under: Elodea nuttallii
Lineage: Eukaryota; Viridiplantae; Streptophyta; Magnoliopsida; Alismatales; Hydrocharitaceae
Description: partial 18S ribosomal RNA
Source: RNAcentral